RNAcentral lists this ribosomal RNA (249 nucleotides) under uncultured bacterium. RNAcentral describes it as "partial 16S ribosomal RNA". It matches the Rfam family "Bacterial small subunit ribosomal RNA", at positions 84 to 334 of the family's 1533-position model. The record is from RNAcentral.
UUUGAUGGCGACCGGCGCACGGGUGAGUAACACGUAUCCAACCUGCCGAUGACUCGGGGAUAGCCUUUCGAAAGAAAGAUUAAUACCCGAUGGUAUAAUAAAGCCACAUGGUUUAAUUAUUAAAGAAUUUCGGUUAUCGAUGGGGAUGCGUUCCAUUAGGCAGUUGGUGAGGUAACGGCUCACCAAACCUUCGAUGGAUAGGGGUUCUGAGAGGAAGGUCCCCCACAUUGGAACUGAGACACGGUCCAA